AGCUAACCCGUUCCGUGAAUGGGAGGCAGCGGCCGAGGGCAGGGGUCGCGACUGGGACGAAGUCGUAACAAGGUAUCCGUAGCGGAAGCUGCGGAUGGAUCACCUCCUUUCUAGGGAGC
RNAcentral lists this ribosomal RNA (119 nucleotides) under Chloroflexota bacterium. RNAcentral's name for it is "Chloroflexi bacterium (hot springs metagenome) partial 16S ribosomal RNA". It matches the Rfam family "Bacterial small subunit ribosomal RNA", at positions 1433 to 1533 of the family's 1533-position model. The record is from RNAcentral. Lineage: Bacteria; Bacillati; Chloroflexota.